CAGUCGAACGAUGAAGUCCUAGCUUGCUAGGAUGGAUUAGUGGCGCACGGGUGACGCUUUAUAUAGUUAAUCUGCCCUACACAGAGGAACAACAGUUGGAAACGGCUGCUAAUACCUCAUACUCCUAUUUAACAUAAGUUAAAUAGGGAAAGUCUUUUCGGUGUAGGAUGAGACUAUAUCGUAUCAGCUAGUUGGUAAGGUAAUGGCUUACCAAGGCUAUGACGCGUAACUGGUCUGAGAGGAUGAUCAGUCACAUUGGAACUGAGACACGGUCCAAACUCCUACGGGAGGCAGCAGUAAGGAAUAUUGCGCAAUGGGGGAAACCCUGACGCAGCAACGCCGCGUGGAGGAUGACACUUUUCGGAGCGUAAACUCCUUUUAUCAGGAAAGAAUAAUGACGGUACCUGAUGAAUAAGCACCGGCUAACUCCGUGCCAGCAGCCGCGGUAAUACGGGGGGUGCAAGCGUUACUCGGAAUCACUGGGCGUAAAGGACGCGUAGGCGGAUUAUCAAGUCUUUUGUGAAAUCUAGUGGCUUAACCACUAAACUGCUUAGGAAACUGAUAGUCUAGAGUAGGGGAGAGGUAGAUGGAAUUCUUGGUGUAGGGGUAAAAUCCGUAGAGAUCAAGAAGAAUACCCAUUGCGAAAGCGAUCUGCUGGAACCUAACUGACGCUGAGGCGUGAAAGCGUGGGUAGCAAACAGGAUUAGAUACCCUGGUAGUCCACGCCCCAAACGAUGUAUACUAGUUGUUGCUUUGCUAGUCAAGGCAGUAAUGCAGCUAACGCAUUAAGUAUACCGCCUGGGGAGUACGGUC
This 813-nucleotide ribosomal RNA is filed under the name uncultured bacterium. RNAcentral's name for it is "bacterial SSU rRNA". It matches the Rfam family "Bacterial small subunit ribosomal RNA", at positions 59 to 887 of the family's 1533-position model. The record is from RNAcentral.